GACGGAGGAUGCAAGCGUUAACCGGAAUGAUUGGGCGUAAAGCGUUAGCAGGUGGCUAUUCAAGUCUGCUGUCAAAGAUCGGGGCUUAACCCCAGAGAGGCAGUGGAAACUGAAUGGCUGGAGUGCAGAUCGGGGAGAGGGAAUUCCCAGUGUAGCGGUGAAAUGCGUAGAGAUUGGGAAGAACACCGGUUGCGAAAGCGCUCUCCAGGACUUCAACUGACACUGUGGUUCGCAAGCUAGGGGAGCGAAAGGG
Molecule: ribosomal RNA, 253 nt
Filed under: uncultured bacterium
Lineage: Bacteria
Description: partial 16S ribosomal RNA
Rfam family: Bacterial small subunit ribosomal RNA
Source: RNAcentral